AUAUCAAUAAGCGGAGGAAAAGAAACUAACAAGGAUUCCCCUAGUAACGGCGAGUGAAGCGGGAAUAGCUCAAAUUUGAAAUCUCACAGGGUUACCUGUGCGAAUUGUAGUUUAGAGAAGCGUUUUCGGCGGCGGCUUGGGCAUAAGUCCUCUGGAAAGGGGCAUCAUAGAGGGUGAGAAUCCCGUUUAUGGUCCAAUGUUCGCUGCCAUGUGAUACGCUUUCCAAGAGUCAGGUAGUUUGGGAUUGCUGCCUAAAAUGGGUGGUAAAUACCAUCUAAAGCUAAAUAUUGGCGAGAGACCAAUAGCGCACAAGUA
This 315-nucleotide ribosomal RNA is filed under the name uncultured Spizellomycetales. RNAcentral's name for it is "partial large subunit ribosomal RNA". It matches the Rfam family "Eukaryotic large subunit ribosomal RNA", at positions 40 to 350 of the family's 3401-position model. The record is from RNAcentral. Lineage: Eukaryota; Fungi; Chytridiomycota; Chytridiomycetes; Spizellomycetales.